AACUUUCAACAAUGGAACACUUGGUUCUGGCAUCGAUGAAGAACGCAGCGAAAUGCGAUAAGUAAUGUGAAUUGCAGAAUUCAGUGAAUCAUCGAAUCUUUGAACGCACAUUGCGCCCGCCAGUAUUCUGGCGGGCAUGCCUGUUCGAGCGUCAUUUCAACCAUCAAGCCCCCGGCUUGUGUUGGGGACCUGCGGCUGCCGCAGGCCCUGAAAACCAGUGGCGGGCUCGCUGUCACCCCGAGCGUAGUAGUUACAUCUCGCUCUGGGAGUGCUGCGGGUUCCGGCCGUUAAAAGCCUUAUUUACCCAAGGUUGACCUCGGAUCAGGUAGGAAGACCCGCUGAACUUAAGCAUAUCAAUAAGCGGAGGCU
Molecule: unclassified non-coding RNA, 369 nt
Filed under: uncultured Chaetomium
Lineage: Eukaryota; Fungi; Ascomycota; Sordariomycetes; Sordariales; Chaetomiaceae
Description: sequence contains ITS2
Rfam family: 5.8S ribosomal RNA (bases 1-154)
Source: RNAcentral